RNA transcript from Juglans regia (Persian walnut), 1247 nucleotides. It is a transcript of the gene named 14-3-3-like protein GF14 iota, with no coding region annotated. NCBI's taxonomy places the organism in Eukaryota, Viridiplantae, Streptophyta, Magnoliopsida, Fagales, Juglandaceae. The transcript has 6 exons. The record is from RefSeq and is a predicted model, not a curated record.
GGAGCUUCUCAUUUCGUUAUUCUCUCUUGACUCUCAUUUUCCCUGAGCCGAAAUCUCCGCUGCUUCUCGCUUUCUGCUUUCUUUGCUGUCAUCUCGCUUUGAUCUCUCUCCGAGAAGAGCAAAAAUGUCUACGGAAAAGGAGAGAGAGACCCAGGUUUAUUUGGCCAAGCUCGCCGAACAGGCCGAGCGUUAUGAAGAAAUGGUCGAGUGUAUGAAAAAGGUUGCAAAACUUGAUCUCGAGCUGACUGUGGAGGAGAGGAAUCUCCUAUCUGUGGGAUACAAAAAUGUCAUUGGUGCUCGCCGAGCUUCAUGGCGCAUUAUGUCAUCCAUCGAGCAAAAGGAGGAGUCGAAGGGGAAUGAGCACAACGUUAAACUUAUUAAGAGUUACCGCCAGAAGGUUGAGGAGGAGCUCUGCAAGAUUUGCAGCGACAUUCUUGCUAUCAUAGACAAGCACCUGAUUCCCUCUUCCACUUCAGGAGAAGCCACGGUUUUUUACUACAAAAUGAAAGGUGACUAUUAUCGCUAUCUUGCCGAGUUCAAGACUGACCAGGAAAGAAAAGAGGCAGCUGAAGAGUCAUUGAAGGGAUAUGAGGCUGCUUCAGCCACUGCAAACACCGAUCUUCCAUCAACCCAUCCAAUUCGUCUUGGCCUUGCUCUCAAUUUCUCUGUCUUCUACUAUGAGAUAAUGAAUUCUCCUGAGAGGGCCUGCCAUUUGGCCAAGCAAGCUUUUGAUGAGGCAAUUGCAGAGCUGGACACCUUAAGUGAGGAAUCAUACAAGGACAGUACCCUAAUCAUGCAGUUGUUGAGAGACAACCUCACUCUUUGGACCUCUGAUUUGCCUGAAGAUGGAGGUAUAAUAGACCCACCCAUUAGCAAAAUGCAUGAAGCUCUCUCAUGUUUAAAUUUUAACUUGUAAAUGCUCUCACGCAGGUGAAGACAACCUCAAAGGCGAAGAGUCCAAACCUACUGAAGCCGAGCAUUGACGGGGGUGGAAGGCACCUGAGAGAGAUAAUAGUAGCUGGAUAAUAUAUCAAUCAUUCUACUUCGUAAGGGUGGCGGCUUCUUUGGUUUUCUCGCAAGAGGACUGGACUUUGCAAUUCGGACAUACUAUAAAUUUUGUUGAUCUUUUUGGCCACAAUCAAAGCCAUAAAGAUCAAUCAGUUCUGCGACUUUUUUUUUAUUUUUCCUCUUAUUUUGGCUUUCCAUCGAGGCGUGUUAUUUAAGCAAUGGAUAUUUAUUUUAUUUUU